CCUACGGGAGGCUGCAGUGAGGAAUAUUGGUCAAUGGACGAGAGUCUGAACCAGCCAAGUAGCGUGAAGGAUGACUGCCCUAUGGGUUGUAAACUUCUUUUAUAUGGGAAUAAAAUGUUCCACGUGUGGGAUUUUGUAUGUACCAUAUGAAUAAGGAUCGGCUAACUCCGUGCCAGCAGCCGCGGUAAUACGGAGGAUCCGAGCGUUAUCCGGAUUUAUUGGGUUUAAAGGGAGCGUAGGUGGAUUGUUAAGUCAAUUGUGAAAGUUUGCGGCUCAACCGUAAAAUUGCAGUUGAAACUGGCAGUCUUGAGUACAGUAGAGGUGGGCGGAAUUCGUGGUGUAGCGGUGAAAUGCUUAGAUAUCACGAAGAACUCCGAUUGCGAAGGCAGUUCACUGGACUGCAACUGACACUGAGGCUCGAAAGUGUGGGUAUCAAACAGGAUUAGAUACCCUUGUAGUC
RNAcentral lists this ribosomal RNA (460 nucleotides) under uncultured bacterium. RNAcentral's name for it is "partial 16S ribosomal RNA". It matches the Rfam family "Bacterial small subunit ribosomal RNA", at positions 338 to 795 of the family's 1533-position model. The record is from RNAcentral.